CCUACGGGUGGCAGCAGUCGAGAAUCAUUCACAAUGGGGGAAACCCUGAUGGUGCGACGCCGCGUGGGGGAAUGAAGGUCUUCGGGUUGUAAGCCCCGGUCGUGGGGGAGCAAAUUAAAAAUAUAGGACCACAAGAGGAAGACACAGCUAACUCUAGGCCAGCAGCCGCUAUAAUACAGAGGUCUCAAGCGUUGUUCGGAAGCACUGGGCGUAAAGCGUGCGUAGGCGGUUUGGUAAGUCGAGUGUGAAAGGCGCGGGCGCAACCCGCGGACGGCACAUGAUACUGCGAGACUAGGGUAGUGGAGGGGGAAGCGGAAUUCUUGGUGUAGCAGUGAAAUGCGUAGAUAUCGAGAGGAACACCGGUGGCGAAGGCGGGUUCCUGGACAUUAACUGACGCUGAGGCACGAAGGCGAGGGGAGCGAAAGGGAUUAGAUACCCCAGUAGUC
This 446-nucleotide ribosomal RNA is filed under the name uncultured bacterium. RNAcentral describes it as "partial 16S ribosomal RNA". It matches the Rfam family "Bacterial small subunit ribosomal RNA", at positions 338 to 795 of the family's 1533-position model. The record is from RNAcentral.